AACCGCUCACACAAUCAGAAAAUUCUCUCAAAAUUGGAGCUCAUCUCAGAAAAUUCUCUCAAAAUCAAUUUGACCUCAUCUCAGAAAACUCAAAGAUUAGAGCUCAUCUUAUCUCCGACGGGCUGAUUUGCGGUGGUCAGCUAUCUCAUCUCUGACAACGAGCGAGCCGUUGAUAGCUGUCUCUCUCUGUUUGUUUCCUGAGAAAUUAUGGAAAUUACACUUAUAUCAAAUUCUUCAAGGAAAAGAAUGAUGGCAAAUUAAUAGCUGUUCUGGUAAGUGUUUCAUUGCUUUUAUGUGUACCUUUUGGUUUAUUGUAUUAAUGUGUUUCAAUGAGUUCAGUAAGAUUGUGUUGUAGAGUCUACUGGUGUUGAGUUCUCCUACAUUGUGAUCUUUCAUGGGGGGAGACAUCAUCUUUCUUUCUUCACAUUUUUAAGGUUUAGUUUACAGACAAAAGAAUACAGAUUGGAGGGAAGCAACCUUCUAGUUUAUUUCUUGCUUCUAUAUCUAUUCUUCUCAGUGAGCAGGUGCCUUUUGCAAAGGACUUGGCAGUGGUCAAUAUUUCUAGGAGAAUUGAACUGGGCAACCGUGCCAUAGGAUACAGCUCAUUUUAUAGGUAUUCAAUUCCUUUUUAAAUAUAUAAGCUUCCAAUUUUCUGUUAUGUCUACAGAUAAUGCCAUUUAUUAGGUAUUAACUUGGACGUAAAAUUUUAAAUUGUGGUUAGAUAUCAAAAUCUAGGGUUGGAUGGUGGUUAUGGAAUUUAAGUCAUUUUUGGUAGAAAUAAGAACUAUAUAAGUAUAAAACUUGAUGUUCUGAACUGCGGGCAAAUAUGAAUUGGAAGAUCAUUAGUUUGUACCUAAGAAUAUAAAGCAUAUAUGUGUGAGUAUGUGGGAUUUUAUCUUUUAACUUAGUUUUAUUUACUUAGUUCAAUUGUUUUUUAUUGGUAAGUUGGCUCUUAUAUUAGUUCUUAUUUAAUUAGCUUAAUUAGUAUUUUGUUUAAUUUCUUAGAGUCGAAGUCAUAUUUUGUAAUUCGAUAAUUGGGUUAUUGCCCCAAACUACUAAUUGGACUAGUAAACAAACAACUUGAUAAGGUAAUACCUAAUAAAAAGCUAACUUGGACUCUAACACCAGGAAAGUGUUGAACUUCGUAUUUUAAGUUGUUAUGCAGUGCUUUUGUUUAAUGUAUACAUUUAUGCUUUUUUCAUGAGCCAUUGUUGCAAUUCAAAGUCUCACUUAACUUCCAACUGUAUACUUUUAUAUCCCUUGUAUGUUUUACAGGGUGCACCGUGUGCUUCUUAUCAGCUUGCUGUUUCUAUUAGCCAAAAUUGGGCAAAAAAGCUUGGGCCAUUUAUUUGUGAGUUUUUAACAAAUUGUAUUCUGGAUAGAGAUGCUGUAGAGAAUGAGCUCAAAGAAUUUUACCAUGAAAUUAUUUUUCAAAUUUUACAGUGUGCUCCUCAGAUGCAAUGUUUAUACAAUGUGCUUGUCUCCAAUUCAAUGAAAUGAAGCAUACACAUCAGAAGAGGCUGUUGAAGAGCUGUUGCAAGUUCUUUCCAUAAAGUCAUUGACGAAGUUGGAAGAGAUACUUGGAGGUGCUGGGGAAGCUAUUGCUGAUCUGAAGCAGCUGUUUUCCCUUGCUUAAAAGUUUGGUUAUGCUGAAUGGAUUGAAUUUGAUGCAUCUAUUGUCCGUGGGCUUGCAUACUACACUGGUAUUGUGUUCGAGACUGAUCAAGUUGAUGUCCGAAUAAAAGCUGUUAAUUUAGUUGGGAAUCUUUUUGCGCUGCCCAAACAGCAAGUUGCACAACAUUACCAUGAUUUUUUCUUAGAGUUCUUGAAAAGAUUCUCUGAUAAAUCUGUGGAAGUUAGAGUGAGCGCUCUACAAUGUGUUAAAGCUUUCUACAUGGCUAGUCCUUCUGGAAUAGAAUCUCAUGAAGUUAUCAGUAACUUAUGAGCAAUCAAAUUUGUACUGUUAUGAUAGAAAAUCUCUUGAUUCUGUUGUCUUUUGAAUCUACUUAACACAACUCAUUUGUUUAAUGCUUACUAAUUAAGCAACUGCCCUUGAAGAUCGAUUGUUAGAUUUUGAAUAUAUAUUUUGCUAUAAAGCAUAUCAUCUCAACAAUUGUGAAUUU
Molecule: long non-coding RNA, 2123 nt
Organism: Quercus robur (English oak)
Lineage: Eukaryota; Viridiplantae; Streptophyta; Magnoliopsida; Fagales; Fagaceae
Exons: 6
Source: RefSeq, a predicted model, not a curated record